AUGGCAUUGUCUCCAUUAAAUCUUCUACCAGAGCCUAGUCUGAUGCUUCAUACCUGGUAUGGGCUCAGAAUAUAUCUGGCGAAAAGAAUUCAGUCACUUAGGAUUGGAACACUUAAUGAACCAAUCCAGGAAGUUGCAAGAGCAGCCUUGUGGGCCAAGUGAUGCCAAGAAGGCUCAGAACAAGAUUAGAUGAUUUUUCUUGGUGUAACCCAUUUGUCAUCAUGGACUCGGGGUUAAAGGAAAGCAUAUGACAACUGCCAGUAGGAUCCAGCUCUGAAGAAAUUAAAUACAAGGUCAAUGAUAAUGAUCUGCUUCCCUGGUACAGCUUUGCUGAAGCUUCAGGACUCUGUGAGAAGCCCAGAAUUUGACUUGGCACCCAAGCUAGCCUAGAACCAACAACAUUAAUGCAAAGAGGCUCUGAACUAGGAAAGUCUAAAAGUCUAAAUAAAUACACUGUCUCUCCAUGUCCUGUACAUAUGGAUCCAGAAGUGUUCCCAUGAUCUGAGAUAGAGAAUACUGAGAAGGCCAAUGGACUGACAAAGGCUGGAGGGUCGUGGCUGAAAUAUUCUGGGAUUUCAACAUUGGAGGCAAGUGACUAGAACCAUUUCAGAGUAGGUGCCAACAUAAUGUCUCAAAAACACUAUACAGAAGUGGUCACAUCCAGUGGAUAGCAGUCAGGGGUUGGUAAGACUGCAUGCUUCUCAGAAAACUGGC
This 714-nucleotide long non-coding RNA is filed under the name Pan paniscus (pygmy chimpanzee). Its description in RNAcentral is "lncRNA (ENSPPAG00000044783.1)". The record is from RNAcentral. Lineage: Eukaryota; Metazoa; Chordata; Mammalia; Primates; Hominidae.